CGCAGCCGCGGUAAUUCCAGCUCCAAUAGCGUAUAUUAAAGUUGUUGCAGUUAAAAAGCUCGUAGUUGAAUUUCGGGAUUGACGUGAUGGUCAUGCCUUAAGGGGUAUGAACUGUUACUGUUGAUUUCUCACCUUCUGGAGAAACUUGAUGUCCUUUAUUGGGUGUCUUGCGGAUCCAGGACCUUUACCUUGAAAAAUUAGAGUGUUUAAAGCAGGCAUUUUUGCUCGAAUACAUUAGCAUGGAAUAAUAGAAUAGGACGGCAUGGUUCUAUUUUGUUGGUUUCUAGGAUCACCGUAAUGAUUAAUAGGGAUAGUUGGGGGCAUUAGUAUUCAAUUGUCAGAGGUGAAAUUCUUGGAUUUAUUGAAGACUAACUACUGCGAAAGCAUUUGCCAAGGAUGUUUUCAUUAAUCAAGAACGAAAGUUAGGGAUCGAAGACGAUCAGAUACCGUGUAGUCUUAACCAUAAACUAUGACCGACUAGGAAUCAGACGAUGUUAAUUUUUAAUGUACUUCGUUUGGC
RNAcentral lists this ribosomal RNA (520 nucleotides) under uncultured Entrophospora. Its description in RNAcentral is "SSU rRNA". It matches the Rfam family "Eukaryotic small subunit ribosomal RNA", at positions 569 to 1084 of the family's 1831-position model. Lineage: Eukaryota; Fungi; Glomeromycota; Glomeromycetes; Entrophosporales; Entrophosporaceae. The record is from RNAcentral.